CCAAUAGCGUAUAUUAAAGUUGUUGCAGUUAAAAAGCUCGUAGUUGAACUUCGGGGUUUACCCAUUGGUCAGGCUUAAUUGUCUGUACUGGUGAGAUAAAUCUCUACCUUCUGAGGAACUUUCAUGUCAUUAAUUUGGUGUGAUUGGAAAUCAGGACUGUUACUUUGAAAAAAUUAGAGUGUUUAAAGCAGGCUAACGUCUGAAUACAUUAGCAUGGAAUAAUGAAAUAGGACGGACUGAUUCUAUUUCGUUGGUUUCUAGGAUCACCGUAAUGAUUAAUAGGGAUAGUUGGGGGCAUUAGUAUUCAAUUGUCAGAGGUGAAAUUCUUGGAUUUAUUGAAGACUAACUACUGCGAAAGCAUUUGCCAAGGAUGUUUUCAUUAAUCAAGAACGAAAGUUAGGGGAUCGAAGACGAUCAGAUACCGUCGUAGUCUUAACCAUAAACUAUGCCGACUAGGGAUCGGACGAAGUUAAUUUUAUAAUGACGCGUUCGGCACCUUACA
This 502-nucleotide unclassified non-coding RNA is filed under the name uncultured Diversispora. Its description in RNAcentral is "SSU rRNA". It matches the Rfam family "Eukaryotic small subunit ribosomal RNA", at positions 591 to 1092 of the family's 1831-position model. The record is from RNAcentral. Lineage: Eukaryota; Fungi; Glomeromycota; Glomeromycetes; Diversisporales; Diversisporaceae.